RNAcentral lists this long non-coding RNA (209 nucleotides) under Gossypium raimondii (Peruvian cotton). RNAcentral describes it as "long non-coding RNA (GRAI_LNC009344)". The record is from RNAcentral. Lineage: Eukaryota; Viridiplantae; Streptophyta; Magnoliopsida; Malvales; Malvaceae.
GGGCUUCUUCUCCUUUUGUUUUUACACGAAUAUUGGUUGUAAAACACACACACACAGAGAUUGAAUACAAAAAAAGGGGAGAGACGGUAUCAAAAAAGAAAUCAAUACAAAAAAGGUUUUCUUUUUUUUCCUCUUUUCGGUUCUGUUCCUUUUCCGAUUGCUUUUUCUUUUUUUUUUUCUGUUUGCUAGUAAUCAUAUAUAUAAGCAUA